Peromyscus maniculatus bairdii (prairie deer mouse) is the source of this 926-nucleotide non-coding RNA. The record is from RefSeq and is a predicted model, not a curated record. NCBI's taxonomy places the organism in Eukaryota, Metazoa, Chordata, Mammalia, Rodentia, Cricetidae.
CCCUGUCUCGAAAAUCCAAAAAAAAAAAAAAGAAAGAAGGAAAGGAAGAAAUGGCGGCUCACAGGGGAAGGAAAAGAAGGAAGAACAGGGCCUCAAGUGGCUGAAGGAGAGAACAUAUUUGGUGUCUGCCACAUCUUCGCAUCCUUCCAUAACAUCUUUGUCCAUGGUACCGAUCUUUCUGGCAAGGAAACCAUCGCCGGGUGACUGGUGGAGUGAAGGUGAAGGCUGACAGAGCUGAGUCCUCUCCACAUGCAGCCAUGUUAGCUGCCCAGGACCUGGCCCAGAGGUGCAAGGAGCUGGGCAUCACUGCCCUGCAUAUCCAACUCCGAUGUCACCCCCAUCCCCUCCGACAGCACCCGAAGGAAGUGGGGAUCCUUGUGGUCGCCGUCUAAGCCCACAGGCACUUUCUGAAAGCUAGCCAGCGGAGAGAGGACGUUCUGUGAUCGCUUCGGCGGCCACAUACUAAAACUGGAGGAUCAUCCUGGCCCCUGUGCACACGGGUGACAGACUGCCGCAUUGAAGCUGAAGGGCUCGUGAAAGACCAUGGAGCUGGCAAGUGCUCAAGCUGAAACUCAAAUCCAAAUUCGUCUGACUCAUAAUUCAACGUGCAUUCCUUCCGCUAAGCUCCGGGGUGUAAAAUUUUAUGGAUGAAGAAACCGAGGCUCACAGACGUCCUCGGCCAUCAGAGCCACACGGUUCACUGCCCAGCAUGGGAAAAGCGGAGGGGAUGGCAUGGGUUGCGUGGAGGAGAGGGCCUCGGCUUGGGUGGAUCUGAGCUUGCGCAGGGCCACCGGGGUCCGGUUUGUAAAUCCCCGUGUUCUGGGGGGGUCCAAGUUCCACCCAAAGGCCGCUCCGCCGGGGUCGGUGGGGUCCCAAGGCCCGGGGUGGGCGCAGGACCGGUGCCCGCGGCGUGGCUGCCUGGCCUC